CCUACGGGAGGCAGCAGUAGGGAAUCUUUCACAAUGGGCGAAAGCCUGAUGGAGCAACGCCGCGUGCAGGAUGAAGGCCUUCGGGUUGUAAACUGCUUUUAUAAGCGAGAAAUAUGAUGGUAACUUAUGAAUAAGGAUCGGCUAACUACGUGCCAGCAGCCGCGGUCAUACGUAGGAUCCGAGCAUUAUCCGGAGUGACUGGGUGUAAAGAGUUGCGUAGGUGGCAUAAUAAGUAGCUAGUGAAAUCUGGUGGCUCAACCAUUCAGACUAUUAGCUAAACUGUUAAGCUCGAGACCGUUAGGGGUAACUGGAAUUUCUAGUGUAGGAGUGAAAUCCGUAGAUAUUAGAAGGAACACCAAUAGCGUAGGCAGGUUGCUGAGACGGUUCUGACACUAAGGCACGAAAGCGUAGGGAGCAAACGGGAUUAGAUACCCGAGUAGUC
This 442-nucleotide ribosomal RNA is filed under the name uncultured bacterium. RNAcentral's name for it is "partial 16S ribosomal RNA". It matches the Rfam family "Bacterial small subunit ribosomal RNA", at positions 338 to 795 of the family's 1533-position model. The record is from RNAcentral.